UUAAAUAUUCUUGUUGAGAACAGUUGGAGACUUUGAACUGGGUGCCUAGUUCUGUUUUCUGGGAGACAGCAUGAAUUCUAUUUUGCAGACAUCAACAAGAGCUUGUUCAGAAGUUUCCUGUGGUUCUGGGCCCAAGGUGUGACAUGCAUUUCCUGCUGAUCGCUUCUCUUAAGAAGCAUGGGCUUGGCUGUUCCUAUUGAGGAAAAAUCUUAAUAAAACUUCCCAUUUUAAGC
This 233-nucleotide long non-coding RNA is filed under the name Bos taurus (domestic cattle). Its description in RNAcentral is "long non-coding RNA NONBTAT018186". Lineage: Eukaryota; Metazoa; Chordata; Mammalia; Artiodactyla; Bovidae. The record is from RNAcentral.